Non-coding RNA from Podarcis lilfordi (Lilford's wall lizard), 67 nucleotides. The record is from the annotation of a GenBank genome assembly. NCBI's taxonomy places the organism in Eukaryota, Metazoa, Chordata, Lepidosauria, Squamata, Lacertidae.
GCAGCUCAGUCGCUAGAGCAUGAGACUCUUAAUCUCAAGGUUAUCUGCUCGAGCCCCACGUUGGGCA